RNAcentral lists this ribosomal RNA (465 nucleotides) under uncultured bacterium. Its description in RNAcentral is "bacterial SSU rRNA". It matches the Rfam family "Bacterial small subunit ribosomal RNA", at positions 505 to 965 of the family's 1533-position model. The record is from RNAcentral.
GUGCCAGCCGCCGCGGUAAAACGUAGGGCCCGAGCGUUGUCCGGAAUCACUGGGUGUAAAGGGUGCGUAGGCGGGCGUGCGCGUCUGGGGUGAAAGGCUCCGGCUCAACCGGAGACAUGCCCUGGAUACGGCACGUCUUGGGUGCGGGAGAGGGCGAUGGAAUUCCUGGUGUAGCGGUGAAAUGCGUAGAUAUCAGGAGGAACACCGGUGGCGAAGGCGGUCGCCUGGCCCGCAACCGACGCUGAGGCACGAAAGCGUGGGGAGCAAACAGGAUUAGAUACCCUGGUAGUCCACGCCCUAAACGAUGCGCGCUUGCUGUUGGGCUGCCCUCGGGCGGCUCAGUGGCGGAGGUAACCCGUUAAGCGCGCCACCUGNGGAGUACCGCUCGCAAGGGUGAAACUCAAAGGAAUUGACGGGGGCCCGCACAAGCGGUGGAUCAUGUGGUUUAAUUCGAUGCUACGCGAA